CCUACGGGAGGCAGCAGUGGGGAAUAUUGCGCAAUGGGCGAAAGCCUGACGCAGCGACGCCGCGUGAGGGAUGAAGGUCUUCGGAUCGUAAACCUCUGUCAGCAGGGAAGAACGGUCACUGUGCUAAUCAGCAGUGAAUUGACGGUACCUGCAAAGGAAGCACCGGCUAACUCCGUGCCAGCAGCCGCGGUAAUACGGAGGGUGCGAGCGUUAAUCGGAAUUACUGGGCGUAAAGCGCUCGUAGGCGGUAUGUCAAGUCAAGGGUGAAAUCCCCGCGCUCAACGUGGGAACUGCCUUUGAAACGGGCAAACUGGAGUGUGUGAGAGGAGAGUGGAAUUCCAGGUGUAGGAGUGAAAGCCGUAGAUAUCUGGAGGAACAUCAGUGGCGAAGGCGACUAUCUGGCACAUAACUGACGCUGAGGAGCGAAAGCGUGGGUAGCAAACAGGAUUAGAUACCCUAGUAGUC
This 465-nucleotide ribosomal RNA is filed under the name uncultured bacterium. RNAcentral's name for it is "partial 16S ribosomal RNA". It matches the Rfam family "Bacterial small subunit ribosomal RNA", at positions 338 to 795 of the family's 1533-position model. The record is from RNAcentral.